Long non-coding RNA from Daphnia pulex (common water flea), 925 nucleotides. RefSeq lists it as uncharacterized. The transcript is spliced from 3 exons. The record is from RefSeq and is a predicted model, not a curated record. NCBI's taxonomy places the organism in Eukaryota, Metazoa, Arthropoda, Branchiopoda, Diplostraca, Daphniidae.
UGAUCUGCGGCAUCUGCCGAAUCAAUUCUGAUUAUCAACUUAUUCUUUAUCUGUGGUACUGGCGCGCCAUCAGAGACCAGGUUGCGCUCUUUUCGGUAUCGACAUGCCGUGUAAUUAAUUUAAUUUUAAAACUGAACAACUAGGCAACUAAUAUUAAUUUUUUAAAAUGAAACGUGAAACCUUGGUGAUCUACUGUUUAAGCGCUGUUUCCCGGGUGCUGGAAUAGCAGAUGCCAUAGACUAGGCACAUAACAUGCCAAGCUGCCUUCCUGCCUUCUCCUCAGUGUAGAAGUUGGACUGACGUCCAUUUGGGGAUUUCUGUUGUUUUGGGUGAUGCUGCGGUGGUGGCUUCUUGGUAAAGAUGAGAUACAAAUUUGGAGGGAGAAUAUUACGUAAAGUUUCGUCACUACGCCAUCUAGCGGUCCAAUAUAGAACUGCAUGCAAAAUUCCCUUUUCUUGCCCCAAAAGUCAAAACGCGAAAUUUUCUUCUCUUAUUCGUCAGAACGUGUCUGAGAAGUUGUAACAUAGUACAUAGGUAAAUCAUUUCAUCUGAUGAGUCAACAAUCAAUGAUCAACAAUCAAUGAGUCAACAAAUUAGCUAGCUUCAAAAAUUACCAAUGAAUUCAUACUUCAUUAGGUAAACUCGAGUGAUUUCGUCUGUAACUUGUCGGUGAUGUGGUCUAUUCCGUGUACAUGUUGGAUAACCUUAAUGUUUUUCAUCAACUUACAGCAGAGGAACCGGGAAAGUCGUGCAGCCUACCGUCACCUAUUUUGUUCAAACUCAUUGUAUUCUACUGAAUGUGUCAUCAAAAUGAUACAGAUCACCGACCCCAGUAUGUGAGUAUGGACUCUCAUUCCAUCUUCUAGAGAAACUUUGAUAACUGAUUGGUGGUUUCAUGUGUUUCUAAAUUGGCAUGACUGAAUUU